Molecule: long non-coding RNA, 522 nt
Filed under: Phoenix dactylifera (date palm)
Lineage: Eukaryota; Viridiplantae; Streptophyta; Magnoliopsida; Arecales; Arecaceae
Description: long non-coding RNA (PDAC_LNC021525)
Source: RNAcentral
AAGGUUUUGUUGCCUUGCUCUGAUACCAACGCUGAUGCCAGACAACAGAAAAAGAAAGAAAGAGAGAAAGAGAGAAGGAGAGAAGAGGAAGAAGAGAGAGAGAGAAGAAGAAAUAGAGGAGAGAGGAGGGAGGAGGAAGAAAGAACUAGGCUUCGCAUCUAGCUCUGCUUAGGGUUUCACAAGCCAGAGCUAAAGCAAGGAAUUCAAAAAUUUUAUUCAUAGCAUGACCCUAAACGAUGUACGGUCCAACAUAUUUAUAAGACCCAGAAAAUGUUAAAGACCCCUAAAAAGAAACUAAUUUCACAAAAGUUCCUCAAAAUAACGAAAUACCUAAAUAAGCCCUAAAGGCUGUCAAAUAACAAAAUACCUUAAUAAGCCCAAAUAACAUAAAAUCACUCCAAAAUAAAAUUAAACUAGCCGGACCAUCCUCCUGCGGCGACCAUAGAUCCGAGUGACGGAUGACCUGGCACUAGUGUCCGCACCACUAAAUAUAGUUGACAAACAAUCAUAUCCUUCACGAAC